UAAAAGGAGAUAAUUUUGGAGCUUUAAGAUUAGACUGCCCCGCUGGAUUGUGGACUCAUGGGGCCUGUAGUCCCUCUGUUUUGGCCAAUUUCUCCCAUUUGGAGUGAGUGAGUGUAUUUAUCCAAUACCUAUGUCCCCACUGUAUCUAGGAAGUAACUACAUUACUUUUGAUUUUACAGGCUCAUAGGCUGAAGGGACUGGCUGUGUCUCAGAUGAGACUUUGGACUGAGGACUUUUGAGUUAAUGCUGAAAUAAAUUAUGACUUUGGGAAACUGUUAAGAAGGCAUGAUUGGUUUUGAAAGAGACUGGAAGCCCAAGCUGAAGGUGUCAGUGGAGUCAAUAUCUGGUGAGUGCUUUCUUUGUGGGUUGAAGAUGGCCUUCUUGUUGUGCUCUCAUAUUGUAGAGAAAAAGAUCUCUCUCUUUCUCUUCUUAGAAAAAAUAAGACCAGAGCCCUAUUGAAUUUGAGCUCUACCCUUAUGAUCUUACUUAACCUUAAUUACCUCCUAAAGACUGUAUUUCCACAUAUAGUCACAUUGCAGGUUAAAACUUCCACAUAUAUAUUUGGGGGGAAUAUAAUUUAGUCCAUAGCAGGGAGUAUGAUUUCUAACAAUAGUAAGGCUUCCAAUACAUGGACAUGGGAUAUCUUUCUUUCUUCUUUCUUUUGUCUCACUCUGUCACCAGGCUGGAGUGCAAUGGCACAAUUUUGGCUCACCGAAACCUCCAACUUUCUGGUUCAAGCAAUUCUCCUGCCUCAUCCUCCCAAGUAGCUGGGAUUUGAGGUAUGCACCACCACACCCAGCUAAGUUUUGUAUUUUUAGUAGAGAUGGGUUUUCACCAGGUUGUCCAGGAAGGUCUUGAUCUCCUGAACUCAGCCUCCCAAUGUGCUGGGAUUACAGGCAUGAACCACCAAGCCCAAACUUAAAGUUCUCUUUAAUUUAUUUCAACAAUGUUUUGUAGUUUUUAGUAUACAGGUCUUACACUUUUUUUGUAAAUUUAUAGCUAAGUAUUUUAUUCUGUUUCAUGCUAUUGUAAAUGAAUUGUUUUUGUAAUUUCAGUUCAGAUUUUCUUUUUGAAUGCACAGGAAUACAACUGAUUUUAAUAUCUUGUAUUUCAUAAUCUUGUUUAUUACUUCUAAUUGUUCUUUUUAGUGUCUUAUAAUCAAAAUCUUAAUUAUGCCAUCUGAAAUUAGCUAGUUUAUGUCUUCCUUUCAAGCAGUUCCAACUAUUUACUUCUUUGUUUGUUUUCCUUUCCUGCCCCACUUUCUGUUAUUCCAUUAUUUUUUAGAUUUUAUCUUAAUUUUCCUGUUGAAUUUGUAGUUAUUGUUUAUUAUUUCAUUUUUAUAGGGGUGCCUUAGCGAAUUCAAUAUACAUCCAUAACUUUCACAGUGUAGUUAUAGUUACAAUGAACUACUUGGCAUAAAAAAUAGAAAUAUCACUACUUUGUAAAUUUAUGUCUAUAUCUCAUAAUUGCAUAUGUGGUAUACCAAAAUAUAUCAUAAAUUUUAUAAGACAAUGUUAUAAUAAAAUUAUAAACAGUUAUAUGAUGUCUUAGUCAGUUUUUCUCUUUGUUUAUUGAGAACCUUGAAUGUGUAAACUUUUGCCUUUUUUCACAUUUGGAAAUAUUUCUAUCAUUAUUUCCUUGCAUACUUUAAAUUGGUCUUUCUUCUUCUUUUAGUAAUUACAGUUACAUGUAUAUUUGAC
This is a long non-coding RNA of Callithrix jacchus (white-tufted-ear marmoset), 1700 nucleotides long. The record is from Ensembl. Lineage: Eukaryota; Metazoa; Chordata; Mammalia; Primates; Cebidae.